UCUCAAUUCUUCCGGUGUUCGUCAGAAGGGUAUUCUCCAUGGAGAAAAACCAGAUUCUUUUAAUUUGAAAGAGGAAUACCCUUCUGACGAACACCGGAAGAAUUGAGAGCAU
This 112-nucleotide microRNA precursor is filed under the name Phlebotomus papatasi. RNAcentral describes it as "microRNA mir-277". The record is from RNAcentral. Lineage: Eukaryota; Metazoa; Arthropoda; Insecta; Diptera; Psychodidae.